Long non-coding RNA from Syzygium oleosum, 374 nucleotides. RefSeq lists it as uncharacterized. NCBI's taxonomy places the organism in Eukaryota, Viridiplantae, Streptophyta, Magnoliopsida, Myrtales, Myrtaceae. The record is from RefSeq and is a predicted model, not a curated record. The transcript has 3 exons.
GUUUUGUGGGGUUGGAUUUUGUUGAUGAUUCUUUUUUUCUUACGGGUCUCUACAAGAAAGAACUUGAACUGAAGCAGAUUCGCAAUUUUCUGGGCCCUAGAUCGCGCAUCAGGUUAGGGCACCUCAGAUAUUACCAACACCAACCGCUGGAUGCCAAGAUUUAUCCGAAUAAAUUUCUCCAAAGCCACGUAGAAGAGAAAAAUCCAGCCAGUGUAAGUAUAUUGCCAACAAGACCCAUCCCGUGUUGUUCUGAUGACGCUAAUUUACGUGCAGAUGUUCCUGUGGAAGCCUAUGAGUACGUUGAUGAUAUAUCCGCCUUCUACAAAUCGGAAGAGGAAGAGAAAUCUAUGUGCAUAAAACCCAAUGUGGUUGCU